Molecule: ribosomal RNA, 1974 nt
Filed under: uncultured marine bacterium
Lineage: Bacteria
Description: bacterial SSU rRNA
Rfam family: Bacterial small subunit ribosomal RNA (bases 1-1467)
Source: RNAcentral
AACGAACGCUUGCUGCAUGCUUUAUACAUGCAAGUCGAACGAAGGCCCUAGCUUGCUAGGUGUCCUUAGUGGCGCACGGGUGAGUAACACGUGGGAACAUACCUUAUAGUACGGAAUAACUGCGGGAAACUGUAGCUAAUACCGUAUAUUCCAGUAAUGGGAAAGAUUUAUCGCUAUAAGAUUGGCCCGCGCAAGAUUAGCUUGUUGGUGAGGUAAAAGCUCACCAAGGCUUCGAUCUUUAGCUGGUUUGAGAGGAUGAUCAGCCACACUGGGACUGAGACACGGCCCAGACUCCUACGGGAGGCAGCAGUAGGGAAUAUUGGACAAUGGGGGCAACCCUGAUCCAGCAAUGCAGCGUGAGUGACGAAGGCCUUAGGGUUGUAAAACUCUUUCAUCGGUGAGGAUAAUGACAGUAGCCGAAGAAGAAGGACCGGCUAAUUCCGUGCCAGCAGCCGCGGUAAUACGGAAGGUCCUAGCGUUGUUCGGAAUUACUGGGCGUAAAGCGCAUGUAGGCGGAACAGAAAGUUAGAAGUGAAAUCCCUGGGCUCAACCUAGGAAUUGCUUUUAAAACUUCUGUUCUGGAAUUCAGGAGAGGAAAAUGGAAUUUCCAGUGUAGAGGUGAAAUUCGUAGAUAUUGGAAGGAACACCAGUGGCGAAGGCGAUUUUCUGGACUGAUAUUGACGCUGAGAUGCGAAGGCAUGGGUAGCAAACGGGAUUAGAUACCCCGGUAGUCCAUGCAGUAAACGAUGGGUGCUAGUCGUCGGACUUUUGUUCGGUGUCGUAGCUAACGCGUUAAGCACCCCGCCUGGGGAGUACGGUCGCAAGAUUAAAACUCAAAUAAAUUGACGGGGACCCGCACAAGCAGUGGAGCAUGUGGUUUAAUUCGACGCAACGCGAAGAACCUUACCAGCGUUUGACAUGGAAAGUACCGGUUACAGAAUGGUAACCUUCAGUUCGGCUGGCUUUCACACAGGUGCUGCAUGGCUGUCGUCAGCUCGUGUCGUGAGAUGUUGGGUUAAGUCCCGCAACGAGCGCAACCCUUAUCGUUAGUUACUAACAGUUCGGCUGAGGACUCUAGCGAAACUGCCGGUGAUAAGCCGGAGGAAGGUGGGGAUGACGUCAAGUCCUCAUGGCCCUUACACGCUGGGCUACACACGUGCUACAAUGGUAACUACAACGGGACGCAAUACCGCGAGGUGGAGCAAAUCCCCAAAAGUUAUCUCAGUUCGGAUUGCACUCUGCAACUCGAGUGCAUGAAGUUGGAAUUGCUAGUAAUCGCGGAUCAGCAUGCCGCGGUGAAUACGUUCCCGGGUCUUGUACACACCGCCCGUCACACCAUGAGAGUUGGUUUUAUCUUAAGUCAGUGCGCUAACCUUCGGGAGGCAGCUGCCCACGGUACGGCCAGCGAUUGGGGUGAAGUCGUAACAAGGUAGCCGUAGGGGAACCUGCGGCUGGAUCACCUCCUUUCUAAAGGAAAAAAAACUUUGAACUAAGUGUACGUUUAAAGUAACCACCGUCUAUUUGUUUUGCUUUUUUCAACUAACGUUGAUAAAGGGCAUUGAUUGGGCGUGUAGCUCAGUUGGUUAGAGCGCGCGCUUGAUAAGCGUGAGGUCGGAGGUUCAAGUCCUCCCUCGCCCACCAACACUGUUGGGGGAUUAGCUCAGCUGGGAGAGCGCCUGAUUUGCAUUCAGGAGGUCAGCGGUUCGAUCCCGCUAUCCUCCACCAACUUUUUAAAAUCGUAAAUAUGUAAGCUGAUAACACAGACGAAUAACUUGCACGAGUUGUUCGUCAAUUAAACAACUAAUAUAACAACAAAUAACUACAAAAAGUUAUUAACAACAAACUUUUCACUGUGUGUUAAUAAUUCAAGCGCGUAAGAGCAUUUGGUGGAUGCCUUGGCAUAAAGAGGCGACGAAGGACGUGACAGACUGCGAUAAGCUCGGACUUGCUGUCAAUAAGCUUAAUCCGAGAUCU